CGACCGAGCGCCUUCGCGUCAUUUCCUGCGCACGCAGCACGAGGGGAGGUGUAGGAGUUUAUCAGGGUGUUGAGUGUUGCUUGUGCAAUGUUGGUCCACUCCUCUUCAAUGGCUGUGCGAAGUUGCUGUAUAUUGGCAGGAACUGAAACAUGCUGUGGUAUACGCCGAUCCAGAGCAUCCCAAACAUGCUUAAUGGGUGACAUGUCUGAUGGCUGAUCUGGAGGAGAAAAUCCUGAAGGUGCCCGGGUCAUGGUUUGUCGCUUUUCAAUCCCAAGUCUGGUUUAUAAUGUCUCCAGUGUACGAGAGACAAGAGACAUGACCUUCUCUUUGAAAACACAUCGUUGUGCCAGCUGAUUGAUUUAAAAGUUGCUGAUGUGUCUGUUUAGUAAUAUUGUGUUCAUGAUAAAGCUUGUUCCAAACAGAGAGCCUCAUGCUAUGAAGUGAUAAUGUGAUUGUCUUGGUCAUAAACAUUAUUUUUGUAAUUGGAUCACAUUCAUCUCCCUCUAGCCACACAUCAAAUUUCAUUCUUUAGCGUUACAUAAAUUAAAUCAUACAUUUUCGGCUUCUUGAGCGAGAGUUUAAACACAACCAUAGCUGAUAUCAAUUUGGUUAAUUGGUGUGACUGAGUCAUCUAAUGACUCAUGACAUAUAAAAUGCUAAAAAUGUAUUGGCUCAUAAAGAACACACACUCAAAGAUAGUUAAUUUCCACCCUGCUUAUUUAAGAGCACCCAUGCAUUUUUUUAUGUUUCAGUUU
Molecule: long non-coding RNA, 755 nt
Organism: Silurus meridionalis
Lineage: Eukaryota; Metazoa; Chordata; Actinopteri; Siluriformes; Siluridae
Exons: 3
Source: RefSeq, a predicted model, not a curated record